AGGGUUUGAUCCUGGCUCAGAUCGAACGCUGGCGGCGUGGCUAAGGCAUGCAAGUUGAGCGCGAAAGUUAUCUUCGGACAACGAGUAGAGCGGCGGAAGGGCGAGUAACGCAUGGGCAACGUACCCUAGGCACAGGGAUAGCUGCGGGAAACUGCAGGUAAUACCUGAUGAGACCACAGUGUCGUAUGGCACAGCGGUCAAAGGGCGGGGAUCCUUCGGGACCUGCCGGCCUGGGAGCGGCCCAUGUCCUAUCAGCUUGUUGGUGAGGUAACGGCUCACCAAGGCUACGACGGGUACCGGGGCUGAGAGGUCGGCCCGGCGCACUGGGACUGAGACACUGCCCAGACUCCUACGGGAGGCUGCAGCAACGAAUAUUCCGCAAUGGACGCAAGUCUGACGGAGCGACGCCGCGUGUGGGAAGACGGCCCUCGGGUUGUAAACCACUGUCAGGGGUUACCAAGCAAAGAGAGUUAAUAGCUCUCGGCGUUGAGGAGCCCCAGAGGAAGCCACGGCUAACUUCGUGCCAGCAGCCGCGGUAAUACGAAGGUGGCGAGCGUUGUUCGGAAUCACUGGGCUUAAAGAGCACGUAGGCGGCCUGUCAAGCGUCUUGUGAAAUCCCUCGGCUCAACCGAGGAAUUGCUGGGCGAACUGGCAGGCUUGAGGCAGGUAGGGGCGCGUGGAACUCUUGGUGGAGCGGUGGAAUGCGUAGAUAUCAAGAGGAACGCCGGAGGUGAAAACGGCGCGCUGGGCCUGUUCUGACGCUGAGGUGCGAAAGCCAGGGGAGCGAACGGGAUUAGAUACCCCGGUAGUCCUGGCCCUAAACGAUGUCCACUCGGCCGGAGUAAUUCUGACAUUUUUCCGGUUCAAGCGAAAGCGUUAAGUGGACCGCCUGGGGAGUACGGUCGCAAGGCUAAAACUCAAAGGAAUUGACGGGGGCUCACACAAGCGGUGGAGCAUGUUGCUUAAUUCGAUCAACGCGAAGAACCUUAUCCUGGGUUUGACAUGUGCGGAUGCCUACUGGGAAACCAGGUCGGCUGACCUUCGGGUUGAAACGUACACAGGUGCUGCAUGGCCGUCGUCAGCUCGUGUCGUGAGAUGUUGGGUUAAGUCCCGUAACGAGCGAAACCCCUGUCGCUAGUUGCCAGCAGGCCUUCGGGCGCUGGGGACUCUAGCGAGACUGCCGGUAUUAAACCGGAGGAAGGUGGGGAUGACGUCAAGUCCUCAUGGCCUUUAUGCCCAGGGCUGCAAACGUGCUACAAUGGCCGGUACAAACCGACGCGAACCCGCGAGGGAGAGCAAAUCGGAAAAAACCUGCCCCAGUUCGGAUUGGAGUCUGCAACUCGACUCCAUGAAGUUGGAAUCGCUAGUAAUCGCGUAUCAGCGUGACGCGGUGAAUAUGUUCCUGAGCCUUGUACACACCGCCCGUCAAGUCAUGGAAGCCGGGAGCGCGCGAAGUCGGGGCGUUUCAGCCCUGCCGAACGUGAGCUCGGUAACUAGGACUAAGUCGGAACAAGGUA
This 1517-nucleotide ribosomal RNA is filed under the name metagenome. RNAcentral describes it as "bacterial SSU rRNA". It matches the Rfam family "Bacterial small subunit ribosomal RNA". The record is from RNAcentral.